CGCUAUCAUCCUACGGGAGGCAGCAUGGGGAAUAUUGCACAAUGGGGGAAACCCUGAUGCAGCCAUGCCGCGUGUGUGAAGAAGGCCUUCGGGUUGUAAAGCACUUUCAGUAGGGAGGAAGGUAGUGUAGUUAACACCUGCAUUAUUUGACGUUACCUACAGAAGAAGCACCGGCUAACUCCGUGCCAGCAGCCGCGGUAAUACGGAGGGUGCGAGCGUUAAUCGGAAUUACUGGGCGUAAAGCGCAUGCAGGCGGCCUGUUAAGUCAGAUGUGAAAGCCCGGGGCUUAACCUCGGAAUUGCAUUUGAAACUGGCAGGCUAGAGUCUUGUAGAGGGGGUAGAAUUUCAGGUGUAGCGGUGAAAUGCGUAGAGAUCUGAAGGAAUACCAGUGGCGAAGGCGGCCCCCUGGACAAAGACUGACGCUCAGAUGCGAAAGCGUGGGGAGCAAACAGGAUUAGAUACCCUGGUAG
RNAcentral lists this ribosomal RNA (470 nucleotides) under uncultured bacterium. Its description in RNAcentral is "bacterial SSU rRNA". It matches the Rfam family "Bacterial small subunit ribosomal RNA", at positions 329 to 793 of the family's 1533-position model. The record is from RNAcentral.